Molecule: long non-coding RNA, 668 nt
Filed under: Vulpes vulpes (red fox)
Lineage: Eukaryota; Metazoa; Chordata; Mammalia; Carnivora; Canidae
Description: lncRNA (ENSVVUG00000013127.1)
Source: RNAcentral
CUCUGGGAUCCCGGGAAGAAGCUGGAGAGGAGCCGCGCAAGCCCGGACUGGAAACUGGAAGGGUGCGUCUCAGCCUGGGAAUGCCUGGGAUUUCUGCCCUGUGCAUAGGGCUUGUGUGCAGAGAGGGGGAGCCUGUUCUUCCACUUCUUGAACCUGGGCAGAAAUGAUGAAUGCCACUUCCAGUUUGGCUGAUAAGAGAAGUGGCAGUCUCUGUUUUCUUCCUCGUGAAACAUUUGUUCUUGGGAUGUUCCCACUCAGAACCCAGCUGCCAUGCCAUGGGAAGCCCAUACCACCUUGAGAGACCCAGUGAAGGUGGAGUCAAGUCAACAGCCCGGCCAGAACAGCUGAGAAGCCCUGGAUCAAGGGGAGCCAUCCACAGGCUCUGGAAUGAAGUCAAAUGGAGCAUUCUGAACCCAACCAGAAGCCUACCCCAGCCAAGCCCAGGCAAGCCUACUCAAGAUCAGCCAACUACAGCAGACCUCCUGCCUCAGGGGUAUGAAAUAAAGAGUUGGUUGUGGGAUUGUGUUUUAUGUAACAUCAUCACAAAAGUAACUGACUGAUACACCAGUCAUUCAGAUAGCCAUGCUAGAAACUUGAAUGUCACCCUUUACUCUCAUCUCUUCUUCAUGCCUCACACUCCAACCCCAAGCCCCAAAUAUUCCUCAAAG